Non-coding RNA from Pantherophis guttatus, 1000 nucleotides. NCBI's taxonomy places the organism in Eukaryota, Metazoa, Chordata, Lepidosauria, Squamata, Colubridae. The record is from RefSeq and is a predicted model, not a curated record.
AGUCCCCCCUAAGAGCAGCGACUUUUUUUUUUUAAUUUGAUUUAUAUGCCGCCCUUCUCCGGAGACUCAGGGCGGCUUACAAUGCGUUAAGCAAUGGCCUUCAUACUUUUGUAUAUUUAUACAAAGUCAGCUUAUUGCCCCCACAAACUGGGUCCUCAUUUCACCUACCUUAGAAAGGAUGGAAGGCUGAGCCAACCUUGAGCCUGGUGAGAUUCGAACUUGCAGACAGCUGGUAUUAAUCACAAUGCUUUUUUAGUCUGCUGAGCCACCAGGCCCCUCUUCUUUGGAGAGAAGCUGCUGCUGAACCCUAAUUUUCCAUUCUAACCUCCUCCCUUCCAACUUUGAAGCUGAAUAUUCAUUCAGGCGGAACAAAGCGGAGGUUGCCAGAGCCAGUUUGGUCCAGAGAUUCAAGGCACCAAGGAACAGCAGCUGGGCCAUGUUUUUUGUAUCAGAACUAUGUAAAAGAAAGGAGCGGAACUCUGCCCACCCUGAGCAUCAUUUGCUGCAUUAAAUUGUGAUAGCUUUCCUCUGUCUUGAUGCUUUUAAGAUAGAAACAAAAAUCUCUGGAGAUCCAAUUAACAUCUCCCAUGUGUCACACAAGAAUUCUCAUUGCCCCCAAAUCCUUUUAAGAACCAGAUCAUUUAUCUACAAGUUAAAAAAUGAACACCAGGGGAUCCAACUUUGAGCAUCAUUCCAUAAAUUCCUGUUGGAAUCAUACUGAGUAUUUUCCAGUCCUGAUGAAAAAGCGCCUUCUUAAAGAGAAGCUACAUAUUUCUUAUCAGAAAGUCGUAUCCUUCAACAUGUCUGAACAAUUGGGAAAAGUCUGGAUUUAUGCAGCAGAGAAUUUUCUAACAAUUUAGUAACAUCGAAAAAGCUGCAUGCUAUUUGGCUAUGAUUGAUUCUUUUAAUCAGUUACUGAGAGGUUUAAAAUACAGGAUGUGCUUAUUGGAUAAACUUUGUUCAAAAUCUUUUACCAUUAAAAAUACAUUUUUGUAUCAUU